UGGCAACAACGCGACUGGCGCCGGGUGGGUUACCGCCGGGGAGCGCGAGCAGGAGUAUCGACCGCCUGGGUGCUCCAC
This 78-nucleotide non-coding RNA is filed under the name Nocardia donostiensis. RNAcentral's name for it is "ZTP sequence". It matches the Rfam family "ZMP/ZTP riboswitch aptamer (pfl RNA motif)". From Rfam's summary of the family: Previously known as pfl RNA. ZMP is also known as AICAR. The record is from Rfam by way of RNAcentral. Lineage: Bacteria; Bacillati; Actinomycetota; Actinomycetes; Mycobacteriales; Nocardiaceae.